UGGGGAAUAUUGCACAAUGGGCGAAAGCCUGAUGCAGCGACGCCGCGUGAAGGAUGAAGGCCUACGGGUUGUAAACUUCUGUUAGUUGGGAAGAAAAACUUAUCUCUAAUAAAGAUAGGGAAUGACUGUACCAGCAGAGAAAGCACCGGCUAAACUCGUGCCAGCAGCCGCGGUAAUACGAGUGGUGCAAGCGUUAUUCGGAUUUACUGGGCGUAAAGGGUGUGUAGGCGGCAAAUCAAGUCUAUUGUUAAAGAUCUCGGCCUAACCGGGAAAGUGCGAUGGAAACUGAUUUGAUAGAGAUUGGAAGAGAGAAGUGGAAUUCUCGGAGUAGCGGUAAAAUGCGUAGAUAUCGAGAGGAACACCGAUGGCGAAGGCAGCUUCUUGGUCCACAUCUGACGCUGAUACACGAAAGCGUGGGGAGCAAACAGGAUUAGAUACCCCCGUAGUCC
This 449-nucleotide ribosomal RNA is filed under the name uncultured bacterium. Its description in RNAcentral is "bacterial SSU rRNA". It matches the Rfam family "Bacterial small subunit ribosomal RNA", at positions 355 to 796 of the family's 1533-position model. The record is from RNAcentral.